Molecule: ribosomal RNA, 311 nt
Filed under: uncultured eukaryote
Lineage: Eukaryota
Description: partial 18S ribosomal RNA
Rfam family: Eukaryotic small subunit ribosomal RNA
Source: RNAcentral
CCCUUAGAUAUCCUGGGCUGCACGCGUGCUACAAUGAUACGUGCAACGAGUUAAUCCUGCUCUGAAAGGAGUGGGUAAUCUUAUGAAUGCGUAUCGUGCUUGGGAUUGACCAUUGUAAUUAUUGGUCAUGAACGAGGAAUUCCUAGUAAGCACAAGUCAUCAGCUUGUGCUGAUUACGUCCCUGCCCUUUGUACACACCGCCCGUCGCUCCUACCGAUUGAGUGUUCCGGUGAAUUAUUCGGACUGCAACAGUUAUCUGUCGCGGAAAGUCUUGUGAACCUUAACACUUAGAGGAAGGAAAAGUCGUAACA